UAAACUACGAUUAGAUACCCUAUUAUUUUAAAUGUUAAAUGUGAAUACUCGAGUAGUAGUAGUUAUGGUCUUGAAACUCAAAGAAUUUGGCGGUGUUUUAGUCCUUUCAGAGGAACCUGUCCCGUAAUCGAUAGUCCACGUUAUAUCUUACUUAAUUUUGUAUUCAGCUUGUAUACCUCCGUCCUCAGAAUAUCCUAUUAGGGUUGAUGAAUUUUCUAAAUUCUUUAUGAAGGAAUGAUGUCAGGUCAAGGUGCAGUUUAUGGUUAAGUGGUGAUGGGUUACAAUAAAUUUAUUUAUACGGAAAUUGACUUGAAACUUAGUUGAUUUAAGGUGGAUUUGAAGGUAAUUUUAUUUAUAAUAUUAAAUUGAUUUUGGCUCUAAAACAUGCACACAUCGCCCGUCGCUCUUA
This 409-nucleotide ribosomal RNA is filed under the name Sweltsa coloradensis. RNAcentral's name for it is "partial 12S ribosomal RNA". The stretch from base 51 to 409 matches the Rfam family "Microsporidia small subunit ribosomal RNA", at positions 752 to 1207 of the family's 1311-position model. The record is from RNAcentral. Lineage: Eukaryota; Metazoa; Arthropoda; Insecta; Plecoptera; Chloroperlidae.